AUCUGCCCCAGAUGGAAAUGAAAAGCCUUUUUGGGAGAAACUUUAUUUUUUCCUGAACCAGAAAAGCGACCAAAGGAAGCUCUUUCUUGUUCUUAGAAAAAAAGAGUUACGACAAAAAGCUUGUAAUGUACAGCUGGAUAAGGC
Molecule: small RNA, 144 nt
Filed under: Flavobacterium sp. 5
Lineage: Bacteria; Pseudomonadati; Bacteroidota; Flavobacteriia; Flavobacteriales; Flavobacteriaceae
Description: Flavo-1 RNA
Rfam family: Flavo-1 RNA
Source: RNAcentral